RNAcentral lists this long non-coding RNA (1135 nucleotides) under Apteryx owenii (little spotted kiwi). RNAcentral's name for it is "lncRNA (ENSAOWG00000001485.1)". The record is from RNAcentral. Lineage: Eukaryota; Metazoa; Chordata; Aves; Apterygiformes; Apterygidae.
UUACUCAGCAUAGACCACUUCUGGUGUGGAGGUGUUUUUCUGAAGCUUUUCUUGUUCCUCCACAGUACCCAAGAGGUGGGACCAGGCACGCUGGAAACCGGACGAGAGAUUUCUGCUACUGAUCAGAUGGGAAAUCGCUCUCAUGGAUGGAUCACGCGUCCCUCAGAACUGACAAACUCCAAGGCCUCCUGGGCUUUGUGGUCAAAGCUGCGUUGGACUCUUCUGCAGGAGAGGAAAGGGAAGUAGUAAGGGUGUCCCCAAACACACCAAAGACUUGGGUGACCGAGGCCGAGCCUUCUGGAAACAAUACUGCUGGAUUCCCACAGAAGUAGCAAGAGGGCAAAAGAAAAAUCCCUUUUGGCUCCCUCACAGCAGCUUUAUACUCUUUUUUUGUUUGUUUUUUCUGAAGAGGAGGUUGGGCCUGAACACCCUCCCCAAAGUACCUUUGACAUUUGGAGACCUUUGAGCCUAGAUCCACAGUGACAGGUCACAGGUCUACGCAGCCCUCCUGCUUCUCCGUCAUGACUUGCAAGACUGGAAGAGAGAGAAAGUAUGACCCGUAGAAAGCAGAGACUAAUUCCUUCCUUCACCAGACGCUUCUCAUGUGGCGAAGUCAUUCAGCUUCUCUUUCUCUUUUGUACUUCCAUUCCCUGCCUGUAAAAGCAGCAGGAACCAUGUGGGGCUCAUAUAUUAGUGACAUGAGAUGUGCAACUAUUUCAUAUAUGAUGGAUCUGUAGAAAUACCCAGAAAGAAGGAAGUCAGAAUUUUCCAGAAAUGACAGGAUUUGCCAUGGACUUGAAGUCCAAUAUUGUUUUACAAGCAGACAAGCCAUUGCUGUCCAAAUGCUCUCCUCACACCAGCAAGAGAAACUUGUUUUUCCAAGCCUUGUAUUUUGAUACCUUCAGUUCAUGAAACAAACCAGAAAAAGCGCCCAGUGAUAAUUAAUUUUAAGAAGCUCAUGAACAUAGAGUUAACUGGCCUUGUCUGCAGUGGUCAAGUGCGUUCAUCUUGCAAUUCUGUUUGAGCUAAGGGACAGCCAAUUUGUUUUGCUCUGCAUCCCACGUGCUGGGGUUGUUGAAGUGCUCUUACAAGGCCAGUGCUGUUAAUAAUAAAUGAUAUUCUUCCUCAAGCCUCA